RNAcentral lists this long non-coding RNA (410 nucleotides) under Elaeis guineensis (African oil palm). RNAcentral describes it as "long non-coding RNA (EGUI_LNC043381)". The record is from RNAcentral. Lineage: Eukaryota; Viridiplantae; Streptophyta; Magnoliopsida; Arecales; Arecaceae.
GGCCAAGAAGGAAAGGAAUUGCUGAUAUUGUACGAAAUUGAGGUUUGGAAGUGGAGAGCUCAGUUCAGCCGACUAUUUUGCAGUAGAUAGCCAACUGAGCUAUUGCUGAGUGGCUGUUGUUGUGGAUUGUUGAGCAACAAAAUUUAUCUUGGCUCUCCCUCUUUGGUCGCCAUCGGAGCUACUGCUACUGCGCCCUUAGGUUCCCAUUUGGCUUUUGAGUUGCCAAUCGGAUAGAUAUCCAUGCAAUUGAAAACAACAAUUGCAUGUGUAACCUAUUUUCUUGCAAUGAUUAUAAUGCACCUGCUUCUUAUUCUUGUCAUGAGCUUGUCCAACAGUAGAGAGAGCAACUAGUGCAAUCCCCUUCGGUUGUAGAACAUGAAAUCCUACACUGGCUCAUUGCUUCUCACCAC